Bos taurus (domestic cattle) is the source of this 825-nucleotide long non-coding RNA. The record is from Ensembl. NCBI's taxonomy places the organism in Eukaryota, Metazoa, Chordata, Mammalia, Artiodactyla, Bovidae.
CUGUCAAAGAAAUGAGGUCACAGAGCAAAUCACCAGAUGAGUGGACACAGAGAAUCACAACUUCCGGGAGCAGAAGCCACCCUGCUGUGUGGGCGCGCAGCCGUGCCCGACUCUCUGCGACCCCAUGGACUGUAGCCCGCCAGGCUCCUCUGUUCAUGCGAUUCUCCAGGCAAGAAUACUGGGGUGGGUUGCCAGUUCCUCCUCUCGGGGAUCUUCCCAACCCGGGAAUAGAAACUGCAUCUCUUGCGUCUUCUCCUUUGGCAGGGGCAUUCUUUACCACUGAGCGACCUGGGAAGCCCAAUAAUGGAAAAACCUGAACUGUAACUGAAAAAUUGCUGGAAGGUUGCCACGUACAGUUGAGCCGGUCGUUCACCGUGCAGAGGAGCUUAGUGUGAGGCCCAGGAGCUGCCACUACUGAAGCCCGUGUGCCUGGAGCCUGCGGUCUGCAACGACAGAAGCCACCGCAAUGAGGAGCCUGUGCAUCGCGAUGAAGAGGAGCCCCUGCUCGCUGCAACUAGAGAAAAAGCCCUUGCGGCAAUGAAGAUGCAGCAUAACCUAAAAGAAAAUAUAUAAAAUACUUUUUUUAAAAAGCCUUUUUGCUCAUCUCUAUCUCUUGUAAUCAUCUCAUUCUUUCAGGCCCUGCCAAAUAUUACUUCUAGGUGAGGUCUUCCUCCAGCCUCAGUUCAUCGCUCCAGUGCAUUCCUCCUUGGAGACUCGACAGCACCUGGUUUAUAUCGAGAAUGGCACUUCCUGUGGUCUUACAUCAGAGUGGGUGUCUCCCACUACCCAGUGAGCCCCUCAUAGGCAAGGGCUACCUUAUUCAGC